RNAcentral lists this ribosomal RNA (440 nucleotides) under uncultured bacterium. Its description in RNAcentral is "bacterial SSU rRNA". It matches the Rfam family "Bacterial small subunit ribosomal RNA", at positions 338 to 795 of the family's 1533-position model. The record is from RNAcentral.
CCUACGGGAGGCAGCAGUGGGGAAUAUUGCACAAUGGGGGAAACCCUGAUGCAGCAACGCCGCGUGAGCGAUGAAGGCCUUCGGGUCGUAAAGCUCUGUUCUAUGGGAAGAAAAAUGACGGUACCAUAGGAGGAAGCCCCGGCUAACUACGUGCCAGCAGCCGCGGUAAUACGUAGGGGGCGAGCGUUGUCCGGAAUGACUGGGCGUAAAGGGUACGUAGGCGGCUAGAUAAGUCAGAUGUGAAAGGCAUAGGCUUAACCUGUGUAAGCAUUUGAAACUGUCUUACUAGAGUGCAGGAGAGGAAAGCGGAAUUCCUAGUGUAGCGGUGAAAUGCGUAGAUAUUAGGAAGAACACCAGUGGCGAAGGCGGCUUUCUGGACUGUAACUGACGCUGAGGCACGAAAGCGUGGGGAGCAAACAGGAUUAGAUACCCUUGUAGUC